This 253-nucleotide ribosomal RNA is filed under the name uncultured bacterium. Its description in RNAcentral is "partial 16S ribosomal RNA". It matches the Rfam family "Bacterial small subunit ribosomal RNA", at positions 524 to 776 of the family's 1533-position model. The record is from RNAcentral.
GACGUAGGGGGCAAGCGUUGUUCGGAAUUAUUGGGCGUAAAGCGCUCGUAGGCGGGACAGGAAGUUCGUGUUGAAAGACCUCGGCUCAACUGAGGGACCGGCUCGAAUACUCUUGUUCUUGAGGCAAUCAGAGGGUGAUGGAAUUCCCGGUGUAGCGGUGAAAUUCGUAGAUAUUGGGUGGAACACCGGUGGCGAAAGCGGCUCUCUGGCCCGGUUCUGACGCUGAGGCGCGAAAGCGUGGGGAGCGAACAGG